This is a long non-coding RNA of Andrographis paniculata, 1046 nucleotides long. RefSeq lists it as uncharacterized. Lineage: Eukaryota; Viridiplantae; Streptophyta; Magnoliopsida; Lamiales; Acanthaceae. The transcript has 3 exons. The record is from RefSeq and is a predicted model, not a curated record.
AUCAAAUAUUCAAAUUGGUUCAUCAAGAAAGUUAUUUUGCAUCAUUUUUUUAGGAUAGCACAAACACAUACAAGUUAAUCACAAUAAAGGAAUAACAAUAAGUUAAUCCUUAUAACACUUCAAAAAUCUAUUACACAAUUUUUCCUCCAAAUGAAACACUAAUUUUCCCCUCAAUUAGUGUAUAUAAGUAACCAUUCCAUCACACAUUCCAUUAUUUUUCAAUACUUUAAAGAUGGACAAAAAUGGAUGUAAGCAAUGAAGAGUUCAACUAAAUAGCCAUCUUUUUGUUGUAAAAUUCAACUGACGGAAAAUCCCAUCAGAAAAAAAUCAACGAGGCUACCACGAAAUUUGGUUUCUCACAAAAAACCAUAAGUCGCAUUUGACAGCGGGCAAAACAACAAUAUUCUUAUUGCCAAUGAAAAAUGCGGUAAAGAAAGGGCAAAGUCAACAGUUUCGAUGCAAACAAGUUGAAAGAUGUUCAUUGCAUCAAGAGAGGUACAUACAAGCCAACGGACACAAGAUUAAAAGAAACAUCAACAAUACUUCAUGAGUGAGAAUUGACGACGACAUCGUCAUCGGCAAUGACGUCACCAAAACUAAUUUUGGAAUUUUCGAUCGAAGCUAGAGAACACGAAAAAUCGAUUCCGACAUCUCAUUCGGCUCGUCAUGAAGAGGAUAUUCCAUUUAUGGUGAUAAAUAUAUAUUAUUAUAUAUUUUCCAGAGAUAAAUUGUAAGAUUUAAUUAAUGUUUUGGAUAGAUUCAUACUCGCUUUUGGCAUGUAUUGAUUUGUGCAAGGUAAUUGAGCGAUUCACGUCCAUGCCAUAUUUUCGAUCAAAUAAUUUUGGAAAGACUUGAAUUAAGCUCCAAUGCUAAGGAAAGAGGUGGAUUACGGAAUUAAAGCUUGAUUGUUGGCAUCGUGAUUAAUAAGGAGCAAUUAAAGGAGUGAUUGAGGACCCGGUCAUCUAUAAAAGGGGGGGGGGGGCAAGACAUUGGAUGUGGUAUCACAAUUCAUACUCACUUUUCAUAGUCUAAGUGGAGGAUUGAGA